This 446-nucleotide ribosomal RNA is filed under the name uncultured bacterium. RNAcentral describes it as "partial 16S ribosomal RNA". It matches the Rfam family "Bacterial small subunit ribosomal RNA", at positions 338 to 795 of the family's 1533-position model. The record is from RNAcentral.
CCUACGGGGGGCAGCAGUCGAGAAUCAUUCACAAUGGGGGAAACCCUGAUGGUGCGACGCCGCGUGGGGGAAUGAAGGUCUUCGGAUUGUAAACCCCUGUCAUGUGGGAGCAAAUUAAAAAGAUAGUACCACAAGAGGAAGAGACGGCUAACUCUGUGCCAGCAGCCGCGGUAAUACAGAGGGCUCAAGCGUUGUUCGGAAUCACUGGGCGUAAGGCGUGCGUAGGCUGUUUCGUAAGUCGUGUGUGAAAGGCGCGGGCUCAACCCGCGGACGGCACAUGAUACUGCGAGACUAGAGUAAUGGAGGGGGAACCGGAAUUCUCGGUGUAGCAGUGAAAUGCGUAGAUAUCGAGAGGAACACUCGUGGCGAAGGCGGGUUCCUGGACAUUAACUGACGCUGAGGCACGAAGGCCAGGGGAGCGAAAGGGAUUAGAUACCCGUGUAGUC